AACAGCAGAAGACAGGAAACAGCAGAAACUGUCAAAUACAUUCCUAAAAAAUCAGCCAAACAGGCCAAUAAGACGGGGGGAAAAAAGUAGGAGUAAUAUCAAUGGCUCAAGUUGAUGUAGAUCUCAAGGCAUUUUGAGAGGUUUUGACCUGAGGAAUAAUUUUGUAAGACAGGUGUUUGUUUAGCCUGUAGGAAACCUGAGACCUCCAGAGUGCUGUCAAGCAGAGUCAGAUUUAAAGUGAAGCUCUGACUGCACUGGCACACAAGUUUAACAGAAGGUCGUACACAUGCUGUAUGUGGCCAAUGCUGGGAACUAAGGAAUCGAG
Manacus vitellinus (golden-collared manakin) is the source of this 325-nucleotide long non-coding RNA. RefSeq lists it as uncharacterized. The transcript is spliced from 3 exons. NCBI's taxonomy places the organism in Eukaryota, Metazoa, Chordata, Aves, Passeriformes, Pipridae. The record is from RefSeq and is a predicted model, not a curated record.